UACGUAGGGGGCAAGCGUUGUCCGGAUUCAUUGGGCGUAAAGAGCGUGUAGGCGGCCAGGUAGGUCGGUUGUGAAAACUGGAGGCUCAACCUUCAGAGGUCGACCGAAACCAUCUGGCUAGAGUCCGGGAGAGGAGAGUGGAAUUCCUGGUGUAGCGGUGAAAUGCGCAGAUAUCAGGAAGAACACCCGUGGCGAAAGCGGCUCCUCGUCGGACCACAACUGACGCUGAGGCGCGAAAGCGUGGGGAGCAAACAGG
Molecule: ribosomal RNA, 256 nt
Filed under: uncultured bacterium
Lineage: Bacteria
Description: partial 16S ribosomal RNA
Rfam family: Bacterial small subunit ribosomal RNA
Source: RNAcentral